This 1167-nucleotide ribosomal RNA is filed under the name Triticum aestivum (bread wheat). RNAcentral describes it as "partial small subunit ribosomal RNA". The record is from RNAcentral. Lineage: Eukaryota; Viridiplantae; Streptophyta; Magnoliopsida; Poales; Poaceae.
AUGACGACGUCCAACACCGGGGAUCCUGUCGUGUGGCCAGACUUGAGAAAGCCAGUCAAGAAGGUCAAGCAUACCAUUAGGGACCCACUCGCACGUCUUCAUUCAAAGUUGUCAACAGGUGGCAACUCAGAUGCUCACGAGCCACCAGUCGACAAAACUGCUGCUGCACCACCAACUGUUCACACAAACUCUGAUGCAAGCGGCCGACCAUCUCCGUCUGCUGCAGAUGUGCAGGCUAGAAUAAUGGGCAUCCGUACAUCAGCGAGUGACGAGUCGGUAUCUGCCAGGACAGCUGAAAUAUUGCCCACUCUUCUGGCAAUGAAGGAUGCUGCUGUGAGCCAUGCCACCCCAUCAGCAAGCGUUGAAGUGGAUGCCCCCGAGACCAACCUAAGCAAGGAAGAUUCCCGCUCAUCUGACACUAAUUCCAAGCGCGUGCGUGGUGCCACUCAUGUGUCCACGACAGAAGUGGCUGAGGCGGCAGUUCAUAAUGAUAUGCCAUUUGCAGGUGAGAGUCUUGGCACAACAGCUCCAGCUCCUGGCAGUGCAGAUAUUGCUAAGGCCACUAUUUCGCGUGCUGGUCUUCCACCUAGGCGUCGUAGCCCCCGCAAGCAAUCAACAGACGUAUCCAACACACCAGCUACAGCUAGGAGCAGCAGAGAUGAGUCUGGUUACGUCCCUGUGUCCACACUGUUCCUGCCAACUGCCAAAAGCAAUGUUAUGGAGAAACCAGAAGACCGGGGUACAACUGAUGCAGGUGCCAAGCCGGGCACGAGUGAUGAAGGUGAGCGUUCGGAGCAGACUGCGCCUUUACCCGCAGUGGAAAUCCCUAUCUUAAAUCUGCGCACUUCGAAGCUCCCAAUCAACAUUGGUGUCCCCUACCGCCCCAACAAGAGGAUUGUCAACAAAUCUACGCCCGUCAUCGCUGACAGCACGCCCUGCCCUAUUGACAAGCCUGAUGAUUCUGCAGUGGCCGAUUCAGAUAUGUUUGUGAUCUUUCAUCGUUGGAUUCUGCCCCGCAAGUUGUUCACGGUCCGGCCAGUAGGCAUGAGAGGCACCCAAUGGCCUUCACCCCACCGAGCUUCAGCCUUGGCAUCAGUCAAGAUCAACCACUGGUUCAAGAUCCUAUGCCAGUUGCCUUUGCUUUUCCGGGAGGCAUGCCCGCAAUGA